This 299-nucleotide long non-coding RNA is filed under the name Brachypodium distachyon (stiff brome). RNAcentral's name for it is "long non-coding RNA (BDIS_LNC003297)". Lineage: Eukaryota; Viridiplantae; Streptophyta; Magnoliopsida; Poales; Poaceae. The record is from RNAcentral.
GGGGGGCCGGUUAUUCUUCCUCAGCCGGGCGGGAUUAGGGAGGCCAUGGGCCUCGGGAGAUUGUUGGGCCGCCUGGGGGAGCUGGGCUCCUGCUUCCCUUGUCGCGACGUGGGCCAAUGGCUAAACACUGGCGUGCUGCCAGGCUGAUCUGCCGGGAGGUAGCCGGGGGGAGUCGAGCUCCCCUCGCGCUGCCUUUCUUCUUUUUUUUUACCCUCUUGACGAUUGAGUUUUUUGCGACGUAGAUUUUCCCUAGUUGCUUUUUUUUUGCAACUUGUACUAAUCUUUUGGCGCCUUCUUGU